AUACUUGUUUUACAGUACAUAUGCUAAGACUGGAAUGACACAGGAAAGAUUUGUGUGGCUCCUGCCCAAGGACAACAUGAAUGUUCUUGAAACACUACAUAUUUAA
This is a small nuclear RNA of Nannospalax galili (Upper Galilee mountains blind mole rat), 106 nucleotides long. The record is from Ensembl. NCBI's taxonomy places the organism in Eukaryota, Metazoa, Chordata, Mammalia, Rodentia, Spalacidae.